AAGUACUCGACUCUUGAUGUUGCA
Molecule: non-coding RNA, 24 nt
Filed under: Arabidopsis thaliana (thale cress)
Lineage: Eukaryota; Viridiplantae; Streptophyta; Magnoliopsida; Brassicales; Brassicaceae
Source: RNAcentral